RNAcentral lists this ribosomal RNA (506 nucleotides) under uncultured bacterium. RNAcentral describes it as "partial 16S ribosomal RNA". It matches the Rfam family "Bacterial small subunit ribosomal RNA", at positions 29 to 523 of the family's 1533-position model. The record is from RNAcentral.
AGUGAACGCUGGCGGUAGGCCUAACACAUGCAAGUCGAACGGCAGCACAGGAGAGCUUGCUCUCUGGGUGGCGAGUGGCGGACGGGUGAGGAAUACAUCGGAAUCUACUUUUUCGUGGGGGAUAACGUAGGGAAACAUACGCUAAUACCGCAUACGACCUACGGGUGAAAGCAGGGGACCUUCGGGCCUUGCGCGAUUGAAUGAGCCGAUGUCGGAUUAGCUAGUUGGCGGGGUAAAGGCCCACCAAGGCGACGAUCCGUGGCUGGUCUGAGAGGAUGAUCAGCCACACUGGAACUGAGACGCGGGCCAGACUCCUACGGGAGGCAGCAGUGGGGAAUAUUGGGCAAUGGGCGCAAGCCUGAUCCAGCCAUACCGCGUGGGUGAAGAAGGCCUUCGGGUUGUAAAGCCCUUUUGUUGGGAAAGAAAUCCAGCUGGCUAAUACCCGGUUGGGAUGACGGUACCCAAAGAAUAAGCACCGGCUAACUUCGUGCAAGCCGCCGCGGUAA